Molecule: non-coding RNA, 228 nt
Organism: Paramuricea clavata
Lineage: Eukaryota; Metazoa; Cnidaria; Anthozoa; Malacalcyonacea; Plexauridae
Source: the annotation of a GenBank genome assembly
CUGAUUAUCUACUUUUAUUCUUUUUAACUUAGAUUCUAGUGCAACAUUUUUGUAUUAAUCUACUUAAACAUAAACACACUGGGUUUUGUUAAAGUUUAUAUAUAUGAAGCUCCACAUUGAUUACUAAGCAUAGUACUAACUUUGAGAUAUGUAGCGCGAAGUGAAUAGUCAAGUAAUCAUCCACAGUGCGGAUAUUGUUAAUGAUAUUACCGAAAUCACUAGAGUGUC